UGGGGAAUAUUGGGCAAUGGACGAAAGUCUGACCCAGCGACGCCGCGUGGAUGAAGAAGUCCUUCGGGAUGUAAAGUCACGAGACACUCGAAUAAUGCUUAUGGGGAACCAUGAGAGAGAAGGUAGAGUGAGAAAAGUCACGGCUAACUACGUGCCAGCAGCCGCGGUAAUACGUAGGUGGCAAGCGUUGUCCGGAAUUACUGGGCGUAAAGGGGACGUAGGCGGUUAUACAAGUCAGAUGUGAAAUUUACGGGCUAAACCUGUGAAGUGCAUUUGAAACUGUAUAACUUGAGAUGGAUAGAGGGAGACGGAAUUACCUGUGUAGGGGUGAAAUCCGCAGAUAUAGGUAAGAAUGCCGGUGGGGAAGCCGGUCUCCUGGGUCCAAACUGACGCUGAGGUC
Molecule: ribosomal RNA, 400 nt
Filed under: uncultured bacterium
Lineage: Bacteria
Description: bacterial SSU rRNA
Rfam family: Bacterial small subunit ribosomal RNA
Source: RNAcentral